Molecule: ribosomal RNA, 362 nt
Filed under: uncultured Lactobacillus sp.
Lineage: Bacteria; Bacillati; Bacillota; Bacilli; Lactobacillales; Lactobacillaceae
Description: bacterial SSU rRNA
Rfam family: Bacterial small subunit ribosomal RNA
Source: RNAcentral
UAUCAACUGUUUAAAAGAUGGUUCUGCUAUCACUCUUGGGAUGGACCUGCGGGUGCAUUAGCUAGUUGGUAGGGGUAACGGGCCUACCAAGGCGAUGAUGCAUAGCCGAGUUGAGAGACUGAUCGGCCACAUUGGGACUGAGACACGGCCCAAACUCCUACGGGAGGCAGCAGUAGGGGAAUCUUCCACAAUGGACGCAAGUCUGAUGGAGCAAACGCCGCGUGAGUGAAGGUAAGGGUUUCGGCUCGUAAAGCUCUGUUGUUGGUGAAGAAGGACGAGGGGGUAGUAACUGACCUUUGUUUGACGGUAAUCAAUUAGAAAAGUCACGGGGCUAACUACGUGCCCAGCAGCCGCGGGUAAAU